Molecule: transfer RNA, 72 nt
Filed under: Styracaster yapensis
Lineage: Eukaryota; Metazoa; Echinodermata; Asteroidea; Paxillosida; Porcellanasteridae
Description: tRNA-Leu
Rfam family: tRNA
About the family: Transfer RNA (tRNA) molecules are approximately 80 nucleotides in length. Their secondary structure includes four short double-helical elements and three loops (D, anti-codon, and T loops). Further hydrogen bonds mediate the characteristic L-shaped molecular structure. tRNAs have two regions of fundamental functional importance: the anti-codon, which is responsible for specific mRNA codon recognition, and the 3' end, to which the tRNAs corresponding amino acid is attached (by aminoacyl-tRNA synthetases). tRNAs cope with the degeneracy of the genetic code in two manners: having more than one tRNA (with a specific anti-codon) for a particular amino acid; and 'wobble' base-pairing, i.e. permitting non-standard base-pairing at the 3rd anti-codon position.
Source: RNAcentral
ACUAGGGUAGCAAAGUAGUAAUGCUACAGAUUUAGGUUUUGUUAUUUAAGGGUUCAAUUCCCUUUCUUAGUU